CGACCCCAGGUCAGGCGGGAUAACCCGCUGAA
Molecule: ribosomal RNA, 32 nt
Filed under: Jovellana violacea
Lineage: Eukaryota; Viridiplantae; Streptophyta; Magnoliopsida; Lamiales; Calceolariaceae
Description: partial 28S ribosomal RNA
Source: RNAcentral